This 439-nucleotide ribosomal RNA is filed under the name uncultured bacterium. RNAcentral's name for it is "partial 16S ribosomal RNA". It matches the Rfam family "Bacterial small subunit ribosomal RNA", at positions 339 to 795 of the family's 1533-position model. The record is from RNAcentral.
CUACGGGCUGCUGCAGUGGGGAAUAUUGGACAAUGGGCGCAAGCCUGAUCCAGCAAUGCCGCGUGAGUGAAGACGGCCUUAGGGUUGUAAAACUCUUUCGCUAGGGAAGAUAAUGACUGUACCUAGUAAAGAAGUCCCGGCUAACUCCGUGCCAGCAGCCGCGGUAAUACGGAGGGGACUAGCGUUGUUCGGAAUUACUGGGCGUAAAGAGUUCGUAGGCGGACUGACAAGUUAGAGGUGAAAUCCCAGGGCUCAACCCGUGAACUGCCUUUAAAACUGUCAGUCUAGAGACCGGAAGAGGUUAGGGGAAUACCUAGUGUAGAGGUGAAAUUCGUAGAUAUUAGGUGGAACACCAGUGGCGAAGGCGCCUAACUGGUCCGAUACUGACGCUGAGGAACGAAAGCGUGGGGAGCAAACAGGAUUAGAUACCCCCGUAGUC